Molecule: ribosomal RNA, 714 nt
Filed under: uncultured fungus
Lineage: Eukaryota; Fungi
Description: bacterial SSU rRNA
Rfam family: Eukaryotic small subunit ribosomal RNA
Source: RNAcentral
CUUUGGUUUUGUUUUGUUGGUUUUGAGGACCAGAGUAAUGAUUAAUAGGGGCAGUUGGGGGCAUUGGUAUUGGGAAGCUAGAGGUGAAAUUCUUGGAUUUUCCCAAGACCGACUAUUGCGAAAGCAUUUGCCAAGGAUGUUUUCAUUGAUCAAGAACGAAAGUUGAGGGAUCGAAGACGAUCAGAUACCGUCGUAGUCUCAACCAUAAACUAUGCCGACCAGGGAUCAGUGGAGCGUGAUACCACCAUUGGCACCUUGAGAGAAAUCAGAGUUUUUGGGUUCUGGGGGGAGUAUGGUCGCAAGAGUGAAACUUAAAGGAAUUGACGGAAGGGCACCACAAGCGGUGGAGCUUUCGGCUUAAUUUGACUCAACACGGGGAAACUUACCAGGCCCAGACAUAGGAAGGAUUGACAGACUGAGAGCUCUUUCGAGAUUCUAUGGGUAGGUGGUGCAUGGCCGUUCUUAGUUGGUGGAUUUUUCUGUCUGCUUAAUUGCGACAACGAACGAGACUCUGGCCUGCUAAAUAGCCACGCGAACGCGAGUUGGCGGGGGGCUUCUUAGAGGGGGUUAUCGGGCAACCGAUCUCAACGGCAGAGCAAUAACAGGUCAGUGAUGCCCUUAGAUGGCCUGGGCCGCACGAGCGCUACAAUGCCAGAGGCAGCGAGUGUAUAGCCUUGACGGAGACGUCUGGGUAAUCUUGAAACUCUGGCGUGC